UACAGAGGUCUCAAGCGUUGUUCGGAAUCACUGGGCGUAAAGGGCGCGUAGGCGGGCUGGCAAGUCGGUCGUGAAAUCCUUCGGCUCAACCGAAGAACGUCGGCCGAUACUGCCGUUCUUGAGGGAUGCAGAGGAGAUUGGAAUUCCCGGUGUAGCGGUGAAAUGUGUAGAGAUCGGGAGGAACACCGGUGGCGAAGGCGGGUCUCUGGGCAUCUCCUGACGCUGAGGCGCGAAAGCGUGGGGAGCAAACGGG
This 253-nucleotide ribosomal RNA is filed under the name uncultured bacterium. RNAcentral describes it as "partial 16S ribosomal RNA". It matches the Rfam family "Bacterial small subunit ribosomal RNA", at positions 524 to 776 of the family's 1533-position model. The record is from RNAcentral.